RNAcentral lists this ribosomal RNA (495 nucleotides) under uncultured bacterium. Its description in RNAcentral is "bacterial LSU rRNA". It matches the Rfam family "Bacterial large subunit ribosomal RNA", at positions 333 to 830 of the family's 2925-position model. The record is from RNAcentral.
CGGAAGCAUCUGGAAAGUUGCGCCAUAGCGGGUGACAGCCCCGUACGCGAAAGCCCGAUCGUGGUACCAAGCUUGCGACAAGUAGGGCGGGGCACGAGAAAUCCUGUCUGAACAUGGGGGGCCCAUCCUCCAAGGCUAAAUACUCGUAAUCGACCGAUAGUGAACCAGUACCGUGAGGGAAAGGCGAAAAGAACCCCGGGAGGGGAGUGAAAUAGAUCCUGAAACCGCAUGCAUACAAACAGUGGGAGCCCCUUCGUGGGGUGACUGCGUACCUUUUGUAUAAUGGGUCAGCGACUUACGUUCAGUAGCGAGCUUAACCGAAUAGGGGAGGCGUAGGGAAACCGAGUCUGAUAAGGGCGCCUAGUUGCUGGACGUAGACCCGAAACCAAGUGAUCUAUCCAUGGCCAGGAUGAAGGUGCGGUAACACGCACUGGAGGUCCGAACCCACUAAUGUUGAAAAAUUAGGGGAUGAGCUGUGGAUAGGGGUGAAAGGCA